RNAcentral lists this ribosomal RNA (253 nucleotides) under uncultured bacterium. Its description in RNAcentral is "partial 16S ribosomal RNA". It matches the Rfam family "Bacterial small subunit ribosomal RNA", at positions 524 to 776 of the family's 1533-position model. The record is from RNAcentral.
UACGUAGACCUCAAGCGUUAUCCGGAUUUAUUGGGCGUAAAGAGCAUGUAGGAGGCCUCGUGCGUCUCUUGUUAAAGCCCACCGCCUAACGGUGGAAUUGCAAGAGAUACGACGAAGCUAGAGGAGGUUAGAGGUGCAUGGAACUCACGGUGUAGGGGUGAAAUCCGUUGAUAUCGUGGGGAACACCAAAGGCGAAGGCAGUGCACUGGGACCUUCCUGACUCUGAGAUGCGAAAGCGUGGGGAGCAAAAAGG